RNAcentral lists this ribosomal RNA (301 nucleotides) under uncultured bacterium. Its description in RNAcentral is "partial 16S ribosomal RNA". It matches the Rfam family "Bacterial small subunit ribosomal RNA", at positions 509 to 807 of the family's 1533-position model. The record is from RNAcentral.
CAGUCGCCACGGGAAUACGAAGGGUGCAAGCGUUACUCGGAAUUACUGGGCGUAAAGCGUGCGUAGGUGGUGGUUUAAGUCCGUUGUGAAAGCCCUGGGCUCAACCUGGGAAUUGCAGUGGAUACUGGAUCACUAGAGUGUGGUAGAGGAUAGUGGAAUUUCCGGUGUAGCAGUGAAAUGCGUAGAGAUCGGAAGGAACAUCUGUGGCGAAGGCGACUAUCUGGGCCAACACUGACACUGAGGCACGAAAGCGUGGGGAGCAAACAGGAUUAGAUACCCGCGUAGUCCCUGUCUCUUAUAC